Molecule: transfer RNA, 110 nt
Filed under: Candidatus Woesearchaeota archaeon
Lineage: Archaea; Nanobdellati; Candidatus Woesearchaeota
Description: tRNA-Phe
Rfam family: tRNA
About the family: Transfer RNA (tRNA) molecules are approximately 80 nucleotides in length. Their secondary structure includes four short double-helical elements and three loops (D, anti-codon, and T loops).
Source: RNAcentral
GCCGAGGUAGCCUAAUCGGUAUGGCGCCUGUCUGAAAAACAGGUGGGCCCAUCCAAGCCCUUGUGGGUUCAAGGCUUUUGAGUGGGGAAGUGAAUCUCCCGCCCUCGGCG